Molecule: unclassified non-coding RNA, 200 nt
Filed under: Pleosporales sp.
Lineage: Eukaryota; Fungi; Ascomycota; Dothideomycetes; Pleosporales
Description: partial internal transcribed spacer 2
Source: RNAcentral
UUAAGUUCAGCGGGUAUCCCUACCUGAUCCGAGGUCAAAGUAAAAAAAGGCUUAUGGAAGGGGGUUUGCUGAAAUCGCUUGCAAUGUGCUGCGCACGAAGCCAACAUACCGGCUGCCAAUGAAUUUAAGGCGAGUCCACGCACUGAGGCGGAACAAACACCCAACACAAGCAAAGCUUGAAGGUUUAAAUGACGCUCGAA